RNAcentral lists this ribosomal RNA (253 nucleotides) under uncultured bacterium. Its description in RNAcentral is "partial 16S ribosomal RNA". It matches the Rfam family "Bacterial small subunit ribosomal RNA", at positions 524 to 776 of the family's 1533-position model. The record is from RNAcentral.
UACAGAGGGUGCGAGCGUUAAUCGGAAUUACUGGGCGUAAAGGGCGCGUAGGCGGUUAAAUAAGUUAGAUGUGAAAUCUCCGAGCUUAACUUGGGAACUGCAUAUAAUACUGUUUAGCUAGAGUAGAAUAGAGGGGAGUGGAAUUUCCGGUGUAGCGGUGAAAUGCGUAGAUAUCGGAAAGAACACCAGUGGCGAAGGCGGCUUCCUGGAUUCAUACUGACGCUGAGGCGCGAAAGCAUGGGGAGCAAACAGG